GAGCGAAGCACUUAGGAAAGAUUCUUCGGAUGAUUUCCUAUUUGACUGAGCGGCGGACGGGUGAGUAACGCGUGGGUAACCUGCCUCAUACAGGGGGAUAACGGUUAGAAAUGACUGCUAAUACCGCAUAAGACCACAGCACCACAUGGUGCAGGGGUAAAAACUCCGGUGGUAUGAGAUGGACCCGCGUCUGAUUAGUUAGUUGGUGGGGUAACGGCCUACCAAGGCGGCGAUCAGUAGCCGACCUGAGAGGGUGACCGGCCACAUUGGGACUGAGACACGGCCCAAACUCCUACGGGAGGCAGCAGUGGGGAAUAUUGCACAAUGGGGGAAACCCUGAUGCAGCGACGCCGCGUGAGCGAAGAAGUAUUUCGGUAUGUAAAGCUCUAUCAGCAGGGAAGAAAAUGACGGUACCUGACUAAGAAGCCCCGGCUAACUACGUGCCAGCAGCCGCGGUAAUACGUAGGGGGCAAGCGUUAUCCGGAUUUACUGGGUGUAAAGGGAGCGUAGACGGAGCAGCAAGUCUGAUGUGAAAACCCGGGGCUCAACCCCGGGACUGCAUUGGAAACUGUUGAUCUGGAGUGCCGGAGAGGUAAGCGGAAUUCCUAGUGUAGCGGUGAAAUGCGUAGAUAUUAGGAGGAACACCAGUGGCGAAGGCGGCUUACUGGACGGUAACUGACGUUGAGG
RNAcentral lists this ribosomal RNA (687 nucleotides) under uncultured Lachnospiraceae bacterium. Its description in RNAcentral is "bacterial SSU rRNA". It matches the Rfam family "Bacterial small subunit ribosomal RNA", at positions 59 to 751 of the family's 1533-position model. Lineage: Bacteria; Bacillati; Bacillota; Clostridia; Lachnospirales; Lachnospiraceae. The record is from RNAcentral.